UACAGGGGGUGCAAGCGUUGUUCGGAAUUACUGGGCGUAAAGCGCGGGCAGGUGGCCUUUUAAGUCCUUUGUGAAAUCCCGGAGCUCAACUCCGGAUGUGCAUAGGAUACUGGAAGGCUAGAGACUGGUAGAGGCGAGCGGAAUUCCUGGUGUAGCGGUGGAAUGCGUAGAUAUCAGGAGGAACACCGGUGGCGAAGGCGGAUCUCUGGGCCGAUACUGACGCUGAGGAGCGAAAGCGUGGGGAGCAAACAGG
Molecule: ribosomal RNA, 253 nt
Filed under: uncultured bacterium
Lineage: Bacteria
Description: partial 16S ribosomal RNA
Rfam family: Bacterial small subunit ribosomal RNA
Source: RNAcentral